UCUUCAUUUCACACACUCUCUCGACCGAUCAGAGAGGAUAGAGAGUGUGUGAAAUGAAGAGA
RNAcentral lists this microRNA precursor (62 nucleotides) under Pristionchus pacificus. RNAcentral describes it as "mir-8364 microRNA precursor family". It matches the Rfam family "mir-8364 microRNA precursor family". The record is from Rfam by way of RNAcentral. Lineage: Eukaryota; Metazoa; Nematoda; Chromadorea; Rhabditida; Neodiplogasteridae.